Molecule: long non-coding RNA, 422 nt
Organism: Melanotaenia boesemani (Boeseman's rainbowfish)
Lineage: Eukaryota; Metazoa; Chordata; Actinopteri; Atheriniformes; Melanotaeniidae
Exons: 2
Source: RefSeq, a predicted model, not a curated record
CCUUCCUAAAUUGAAGGCAGAUCUGGAGGCCUUUGUGGAAGGCUGGAACAACCAUCCACUCAGGACAGAGGGAAAUCGUACUCCGGAGCAGCUCUGGCAUACUGGAAUGAUGCUUUACCCAAUGGAUCAGCCAGAGAAUCUUGAGGAUAUCCACGAGCCUGACAUUGACUGGGACGUUGCUGCUGAGUAUGGAGAACAUGUGGAUGGUGCGGUAGUAGUUCCUGAAUUUCCAUGUCCACUCAAUGAACAGCAACUGGCAGCGCUGCAGUUGCUGCUUGAAAAUGAAGCUGGGAGUGACACUACAGAACUUUUUCUGCUCUGUCGGGAAUAUGUGGCCACAGCUUUGUCAGGGGCUGUGUAACCUACUAAUGAACAUUGUAUAUUUGGCCUCAACAAUAAAUGAACAUUGUUAUGACCAUGGC